GACGAACGCUGGCGGCGUGCUUAACACAUGCAAGUCGAACGGAAAGGCCCUGCUUUGGUGGGGUGCUCGAGUGGCGAACGGGUGAGUAACACGUGAGUAACCUGCCCUCUACUUUGGGAUAAAUUCAGGAAACUUGGGCUAAUACCGGAUAGGAGCUCCUGCUGCAUGGUGGGGGUUGGAAAGUUUCGGCGGUUGGGGAUGGAAUCGCGGCUUAUCAGCUUGUUGGUGGGGUAGUGGAUUAGCAAGGCUUUGACGGGUAGCCGGCCUGAUAGGGUGACCGGCCACAUUGGGACUGAGAUACGGCCCAGCCCCCUACGCGAGGCAGCGGUGCGGAAGAGUGCACAAGGGGCGGAAGCCUAAUGCAGCAACGCCGCGUGGGGGAAGACGUCCUUCGGUUAGGAUACCGCUUUCGCCUGUGACGAAGCGUGAGUGACGGUAAUAGGUAAAGAAGCACCGGCUAACUACGUG
Molecule: ribosomal RNA, 468 nt
Filed under: uncultured bacterium
Lineage: Bacteria
Description: partial 16S ribosomal RNA
Rfam family: Bacterial small subunit ribosomal RNA
Source: RNAcentral